CUGCCGUUGAACGGCCGGCCAAAUCCGACAGAACGAAGCUUUUGGCUACAUCUACAUGUGACAUGUACUGCAGCAGCUAGCAAUAUAUCCAACAUUGUUGCUAGCUAACUGAUCCACGUGUAAACCGGCACGUGUCGCCGUGCCAUUGGCCUGCCGUGCAAGUCCCAUGUGAACCGUGGCGAUGUGCCAUGUGCGUUGGUGCACAAUUAUGCAGGUGACACUUUCAUUACAUCAGUGACACUUUGCAGAGGCAGAAGGCUAUAUAAGAUGUAGAAUGUGCAUUGUUCAUGUAAGCCAAGAAGCCAAGUGAACACUGCAUAUAUAUUAGUGUUAGUGUGCUACAUAUAUAUAGCAAGUGAUGUGUGAUAGAGCUGCAUUUGCACCUGCACCUACAGAGAGGAAGAUGAAGCAGCAAGCUAGCAAUACGUGCUUGAUCGCUAUACGCUAGCUUCUUGCACACAAUGUUGUUCCUGGUCUCUUCCUGAUCCCUAGGUGCAGAGGCAGAUGCAACUAUGUCAUAGACUUCACAUCCAUCUUUAGUUACUUACCACUAUAUAUUCAAUAAAUUAGCUAGCACCCUAGUUCUCUUGCUGAUUCCUUUCAAAAAAUCUUCAGUUACUUGCUCCUUCUAAUCCUUU
Molecule: non-coding RNA, 638 nt
Filed under: Oryza sativa Japonica Group (Japanese rice)
Lineage: Eukaryota; Viridiplantae; Streptophyta; Magnoliopsida; Poales; Poaceae
Source: RNAcentral